RNAcentral lists this transfer RNA (71 nucleotides) under Candidatus Magasanikiibacteriota bacterium. RNAcentral's name for it is "Candidatus Magasanikbacteria bacterium tRNA-Gln". It matches the Rfam family "tRNA". Rfam says of the family: Transfer RNA (tRNA) molecules are approximately 80 nucleotides in length. Lineage: Bacteria; Candidatus Magasanikiibacteriota. The record is from RNAcentral.
UCGGGGAUCGUCUAAUGGUAGGACAGCAGGUUCUGGAUCUGCUUAUCUAGGUUCGAAUCCUGGUCCCCGAG